This 397-nucleotide ribosomal RNA is filed under the name uncultured bacterium. Its description in RNAcentral is "bacterial SSU rRNA". It matches the Rfam family "Bacterial small subunit ribosomal RNA", at positions 30 to 429 of the family's 1533-position model. The record is from RNAcentral.
AUUGAACGCUGGCGGCAUGCCUUACACAUGCAAGUCGAACGGCAGCACGGACUUCGGUCUGGUGGCGAGUGGCGAACGGGUGAGUAAUGCAUCGGAACGUGCCAUUGAGUGGGAGAUAACGUAGCGAAAGUUGCGCUAAUACCGCAUAUUCUGUGAGCAGGAAAGUAGGGGACCGCAAGGCCUUGCGCUCUUUGAGCGGCCGAUGUCAGAUUAGCUAGUUGGUGAGGUAAAGGCUUACCAAGGCGACGAUCUGUAGCGGGUCUGAGAGGAUGAUCCGCCACACUGGAACUGAGACACGGUCCAGACUCCUACGGGAGGCAGCAGUGGGGAAUUUUGGACAAUGGGGGGCAACCCUGAUCCAGCCAUGCCGCGUGAGUGAAGAAGGCCUCGGUGUAAG